This 403-nucleotide ribosomal RNA is filed under the name uncultured bacterium. Its description in RNAcentral is "bacterial SSU rRNA". It matches the Rfam family "Bacterial small subunit ribosomal RNA", at positions 362 to 758 of the family's 1533-position model. The record is from RNAcentral.
UAUUGCACAAUGGGCGCAAGCCUGAUGCAGCCAUGCCGCGUGUGUGAAGAAGGCCUUCGGGUUGUAAAGCACUUUCAGUCAGGAGGAAAGGUUAGUAGUUAAUACCUGCUAGCUGUGACGUUACUGACAGAAGAAGCACCGGCUAACUCCGUGCCAGCAGCCGCGGUAAUACGGAGGGUGCGAGCGUUAAUCGGAAUUACUGGGCGUAAAGCGUACGCAGGCGGUUUGUUAAGCGAGAUGUGAAAGCCCCGGGCUCAACCUGGGAACUGCAUUUCGAACUGGCAAACUAGAGUGUGAUGGAGGGUGGUAGAAUUUCAGGUGUAGCGGUGAAAUGCGUAGAGAUCUGAAGGAAUACCGAUGGCGAAGGCAGCCACCUGGGUCAACACUGACGCUCAUUACGAAA